Pipistrellus kuhlii (Kuhl's pipistrelle) is the source of this 542-nucleotide non-coding RNA. NCBI's taxonomy places the organism in Eukaryota, Metazoa, Chordata, Mammalia, Chiroptera, Vespertilionidae. The record is from the annotation of a RefSeq genome assembly.
UGGAAUUCACACUGGUUGUUUUCAGCAGCUCUCGCUGCCUCCACUUCCUCUGAAAGGUUUUGGUCUCAUGCCCUUGGGGACUCUGACACGUACGGGAAGCAAGCAUGUCACAAGGAGGCUGCCGAGGAGGGAAGGCCACCUGCCCCUGCUCUUUUCCUGCAACAGCCAUGCACCUAACACUUCUCUGCUGCGUGGCCCUCUGUGUCUGGGGAGCAGGCUCCGUGGACCCUGAGGUCACCCAGGAUCCUGGACAUCUGGUCAAAGGAAAAGGACAGAAAGCGAAGAUGACUUGUGUCCCCAUAAAAGGACAUAAUUAUGUUUAUUGGUAUCGUCGGAAGCUGGGAGAAGAGCUCAAGUUUAUGGUUUAUCUACAGAAUGAAAAAAUUAUUGAGAAAACGGACAUGAUCAAUGAGCGGUGUUCAGCUCAAUGCCCCACAAACUUCCCGUGCCGCCUGGAAAUACAGUCCACGGAGCCAGGGGACUCAGCUUUGUACUUCUGUGCCAGCAGCCAAUCCACAGUGCUGAAUGUCAGCUUUUCUUAG